UCCCUGAUGGUCCAGUGGCUAAGAAUCUGCACUCCAAAUGCAGGGGCCCUGGUUCCAUCCUUGGUCAAGGAA
Molecule: transfer RNA, 72 nt
Filed under: Ovis aries (sheep)
Lineage: Eukaryota; Metazoa; Chordata; Mammalia; Artiodactyla; Bovidae
Rfam family: tRNA
About the family: Transfer RNA (tRNA) molecules are approximately 80 nucleotides in length.
Source: Rfam by way of RNAcentral